CAGUGACAGAGGGAGGGGGUGACACAGUGAGGGAGGUGGUGACUAGUGACAGAGUGAGGGAGGUGGUGACUGUCACUAGUCACUAGUCACCACCUCCCUCACUCUGUCCCUCGUCACCCCUCCCUCU
This is a non-coding RNA of Pelobates cultripes (western spadefoot toad), 127 nucleotides long. NCBI's taxonomy places the organism in Eukaryota, Metazoa, Chordata, Amphibia, Anura, Pelobatidae. The record is from the annotation of a GenBank genome assembly.